GUCAGGGUGGUUCAGUGGUUUGAAUGUUGGACUAGGGCUCUAGGGGACCAGGGUUGGAAUCCCCACUCAGUCA
Molecule: non-coding RNA, 73 nt
Organism: Phrynosoma platyrhinos (Desert horned lizard)
Lineage: Eukaryota; Metazoa; Chordata; Lepidosauria; Squamata; Phrynosomatidae
Source: the annotation of a GenBank genome assembly